UUGCUUUAUGAACGCUAUUACUCAUAUCAUCAACAAUAAGCUUGUUUUGUUUUCUCAAUCAGUGAACAAAAAAGAGUUUUAAUCUAAAUGAUUGAAAACCAAUUUUGACAAUCAUCUAUUAACCUUCACUGACAAGUAACACAAUCAAGAUCAUUCCUGUCUCUUCUAAUCAACAACAUCUUCUAUUUUACCCUUUGAUUGUGAUCAUUUUCCCUCUACUGGCUGUUGACUCUUUACCUUCACUCUGCACUUCACGCUUCUGUGGAUAAACAUGGACAAACUAUAAUUAAGUAAACAAUGCUCAAUCAAGUUGAAUCUUAAUAAUUGUUCCACUUUUUGUUUUCACAUUCAUUAUUAUUCGUGUUACAUUAUUAUCAAUCAAGGUCAAUCUGGAAAAGAUCAUUCGAUAAUCAAUGAAAUCGAAUCAAAGUUGUUCAAUUAUCAAGCCAUGCUACUUGCGGUUUACACCAACGGAAUACAUUUUUCUUCCCUGUUUUCUGUCCAUUAUACUUCACAUUGAACAAUUAUACGCGUGUUAAUUAAAAUGGUGAAUAGACAUGAAGAUAUGGAUCACCAUUCGCUGGUCUCAAUCAAACACUGCAUUGAAACAACUCGCCUAUUCAGCUUAUUCCCAGAUUUGGCUAUGGCCUAUUUGCAUCGAAGUUAUCGCUAAAUUAUAAAGUAAUUUGACAAUAGCUAUUAGCUUCAACUGGCAGAUAUGAUAUACAUUAUGGAAAAUACGAGUUAUCGAUGGUUGAUUUUUGAAAGCUGCUGAUGAAUAUUACGAUCUUCUCUUUUCUGUUUAUGGUCAAGUCAAACACAGUCUAAGGAUCAAAUGGCGAUGAUCAACUAAAUCAACUUUAAAUUUACCUUAUGACUUUUUUCCAGUAAAAAAAGAUGUCUAAAGAAUAGGCGCAUCCGAUGAAAAUUAAACUGUCCAUAAUCACUAUUAAAUAUCUUGGCUCGGUUCAGUUGACAAUACGGAAAUGCUAUCCAUCAUGGGCACUGAUUACAAAUGUAUUCAAAUAUCAUUCCGAUCAUAAAGAAAACAAAUAACGCAUUUGUUGAAACAAUUAUUAAUACAUUCAAUGUGACUAUUGCAACCAAAUGGAUCAGGCGUUAACCAUUUAGUUACAUUAUAUUACCAUUAAAUUAGCCAACAUUUUGCAUGUCUAAUGAAAUUAAUAGAGAUACAAUUUACAUUUUGGUAAUUACCUGAGAAAUAGUAAAUUGAUUCUAUUUGCCUAAAUUAUGAGCAAUAUUUGUUUUCAACAAUAAGUGUAAACUGGUGUGAUUCCAACAAUCAUAAACCCAAAAGAAAAACCCAAUUCCAAAUAGCCGUUCAAAUGGUGAUGUAUUUAGGUGAUGGACAUUAAUUGUCUUGGUGUUCACUGGACUCGAUUUGGUGAUUGAACAUGGAACCAGGAGAAAGUGAGGUCAAUAAUCGCUGUUACCCAUAACCAGUAAAAGUGUUUAAAGUUAAAGAUCUAAAAAUAUCAAUUGAAAUCAUUGUUAAAUGACAUGUAAAUUUUGCUCAUCGGCUCGUAGAAAGGGUCAACAAGCCGAAUGUGUGUUUCCCGAAAAACCUUGGCAAAUCCCGAAUAGUGAAGAUGGUGCUAAUGAUAAAGGUAUUUAGUAUAUUUGAC
Tetranychus urticae (two-spotted spider mite) is the source of this 1646-nucleotide non-coding RNA. The record is from RefSeq and is a predicted model, not a curated record. NCBI's taxonomy places the organism in Eukaryota, Metazoa, Arthropoda, Arachnida, Trombidiformes, Tetranychidae.